UCAUUCUUUUGUCUGUUUUUCUUUUCAGUAACAAAAUUCUUUGAAUUCUUCUGCUCAGUUUUAUGUUUUGCUGAUUUCUUCUCAUCUCUUGUUUCCUCAAUUUGUUCUGGCGUCUCUUCUUCUUCGCCAUUUUUGAAUAACUUAUACUUUCUUGAGGAAAAUUGCAAGGGUGAAAGCUUAUAGUGUUUUAGACUAGGGGUUGAAGUAUUGUCUGGACUAAAGAGACCUUUGUAAGGAGCAAUCAAAUUUUUGUUCUUUAUCUGUUUAAUUUCUACUUGGUCAUUUCUUACUUCAAUGUUCUCUAAAUUUUCUUCCUUUUCCUCUACAUUCUUCUAAAAAGUAGUGAAAUAGUAAUAAUAACGUAAAUAAUAAAAAUAGCAAUAACGAAAGAAUAUUUACCUGAUUCUUACAAACAGAGUUGCCACAUUUGCAUAGUUCACUGCAUGAGACGUUCUUUCUAAAGCAACCACAGCGUUUGGUAGCACACUUGCUUUUACAUUGACAUCCACGCACAGAAAUUGAUGAUUCUCCAACACUAUUCUUACUCAGACGACCGUUUUCAAUGGUGAGAAGCUUCACUUGUUCCUCAAGACGUGCUAUCUCCAACAUUGUAUCGUGUGUUUGUGUUGCUACAUUUCUCUUUUCACUGAAAGCAAUAUAAAAUCCAAAGAAGGACCGACGAAUAACGCGAGUAUAAUGUACAAAUAAAGAUUAUGAAAUUAAUAAAUUACGCACCUUUUGGUUUUUGUGUGUGACAUUUUAAUUCCACUGACUUCUGCUAUCUUCUGGCGGUUGACGGUUUACGUUUAAAUUCAGAAUCGCAGAGGAGGGGGAGAGCAGUCGGGAUUGGGAGCACUGUUUGACUCAGUUUUGACUGAUCUGACCUCAUUAUGAUGUUCCUUUUCUGUCGGUUAUUGUUCUCGAAAUGGAAAGUGAAAUCUCGAGAUUUGAUUCGAAACAUUUGAUAGUCGAUUUCUCUACGAUAAUUGGAAAAGAGAGACUAAUAUUUUUAAAAGUUUGGACAAUUUUACGAUGUACAUUAUUACCAAACAGAGCAACUGUGGCGCCACAAACGAAAACAAAGAUAAGUCAAUGAAUGGAUAAUAUAACAAAUUAGUAAUUUACAAUCAUUAUGCGGUAUGUACUUCGAAACAUAUAAUGAAAGUGUUAUUAACAUGUGAUAAACACUUCAGAAGGGGAUUCUGCGAACUGAAAUAAAAUUUCAGCCUCGUUCUUAAAUCAUUAUCACUAUAUUAUAUCUGCAUGUAAAAUCAUCGUUUAAAAUUUCCUGCGAUAAACAUCGCGGAAGCAUUCAAGCUGAGAUAAGAAAUCAUCAAAUCUUACGUACACUGAAUAUAUACGAUCAACUACAACACAGGUGCAUGGGGGCAACCAAAGACGAUGACAAUGAAGAGUUAACAGUCUAUGAAAUUGUGUCUUGUACGAAUUAAUGAAAGUCUAUUUUAUUUGUAAUAUAUUUCAUUAAAUUAAUGCAGAACAGAAACUAUGACUAAUUGUUGUGCUCGAAACUGUAAUAAUACAACUAAGAAGGAUUAUAUUAUGAAAAUCUUUUCACGCGAUCCCAAACGCAGAGCACAAUUGGCUGCAAAUGUAAGGCGAAAAGAUUGGUUCCUAUAUUUGCGAAGUUUGCUUUUGUAGCUUGUAAUUUUAUAACAGUUUAAAUUAUUUAAAUUAAACUGGAACAUUCUGAA
Long non-coding RNA from Megalopta genalis, 1712 nucleotides. RefSeq lists it as uncharacterized. The record is from RefSeq and is a predicted model, not a curated record. NCBI's taxonomy places the organism in Eukaryota, Metazoa, Arthropoda, Insecta, Hymenoptera, Halictidae.